CGAACGGGGAGCAGCCCAGAGUCUGAAUCAGCUUGUGUGUUAGUGGAACGGUCUGGAAAGUCCGACGGUACAGGGUGAUAGUCCCGUACACCAAAAUGCACAGGUUGUGAACUCGAAGAGUAGGGCGGGACACGUG
This 136-nucleotide ribosomal RNA is filed under the name Escherichia coli. RNAcentral's name for it is "partial 23S ribosomal RNA". It matches the Rfam family "Bacterial large subunit ribosomal RNA", at positions 254 to 428 of the family's 2925-position model. The record is from RNAcentral. Lineage: Bacteria; Pseudomonadati; Pseudomonadota; Gammaproteobacteria; Enterobacterales; Enterobacteriaceae.